Molecule: long non-coding RNA, 207 nt
Filed under: Gossypium raimondii (Peruvian cotton)
Lineage: Eukaryota; Viridiplantae; Streptophyta; Magnoliopsida; Malvales; Malvaceae
Description: long non-coding RNA (GRAI_LNC003189)
Source: RNAcentral
CGGUGGGUGGUGGCAGCGGCGCACAGAGGGCAGGUAACCAGACUGACGGCAGAAGACCUAGGGCUAGUGUUUUUUCUCUGCUUUUUUUAUUUGGUGUUGGGCUGUUUGGGUUUUCUGUUUGGGUUAUUUUUUUGGUCUCUGCUUGUUGGGCCCGGGCAUAAAUUGGGCUGUACAAAAAUGAUUUAUUACACUUAAGAUAAAAUAACA